This 253-nucleotide ribosomal RNA is filed under the name uncultured bacterium. RNAcentral's name for it is "partial 16S ribosomal RNA". It matches the Rfam family "Bacterial small subunit ribosomal RNA", at positions 524 to 776 of the family's 1533-position model. The record is from RNAcentral.
UACGGAAGGGGCAAGCGUUGUUCGGAAUCAUUGGGCGUAAAGGGCGCGUAGGUGGCUCUGUAUGUCUACCGUGAAAGCAUACAGCUCAACUGUAUUUUGUCGGUAGAAACUGCAGGACUUGAGGCUGGGAGGGGCUGGUGGAAUUCCCUGUGUAGCGGUGAAGUGCGUAGAGAUGGGGGAGAACACUCGUGGCGAAGGCGGCCAGCUAGACCAGUUCUGACACUGAGGCGCGACAGCGUGGGGAGCAAACAGG